CUUUACCGUUAACCAUUCCCGUCACAGCAGUCACGCUAUAGCUAUCAACAUCGCAAACUUCCGGCUGAUAGACAGGUUGUAAUGUCGAUUCACGGAGCGUAUCAGACUUAUACCCUUGUAAAUUGCGGUUCUGCGUAUUUAGCCCAAAAGGCUCAAAUGCGAUAACCUGCUGUGACAUCGCCCCGGCCUUAUUUUUCAGCGCCAGUGAGACGCGUAAAUUCUCUAUACUGCUGAUUCUGUCCGUUUUGACGACAAACUCCAGCUCGCAUGCAUAGCCGCUGCCCUGGCUCGCACCGAAAACACGAUCACGAUUGAAGGUUAACUUCGGCAAAUUCUUUUCACGCAUUGCCACAGCCUCAGCGCGGGCCUGUCGGUCUUUUUCGCAGGUCACCUGAAAAUGGGGAUCGUCUGCAAAACUUGCUCGCCCCUGAGCAAACAACUCCGCUGCCUUCCGGCAGUCCGUGUCGACAAACUGACCGUUGGUAUACAUCCAGGC
This 496-nucleotide unclassified non-coding RNA is filed under the name uncultured fungus. Its description in RNAcentral is "partial internal transcribed spacer 1". Lineage: Eukaryota; Fungi. The record is from RNAcentral.